GUCCUUGUAGUAUAAAAAUUACCCUGGUCUUGUAAACCAGAAAUGAAGCUCAACCCUUCCUAGGACA
This 67-nucleotide transfer RNA is filed under the name Ochotona coreana. Its description in RNAcentral is "tRNA-Thr". It matches the Rfam family "tRNA". Rfam says of the family: Transfer RNA (tRNA) molecules are approximately 80 nucleotides in length. Their secondary structure includes four short double-helical elements and three loops (D, anti-codon, and T loops). The record is from RNAcentral. Lineage: Eukaryota; Metazoa; Chordata; Mammalia; Lagomorpha; Ochotonidae.